This 274-nucleotide ribosomal RNA is filed under the name uncultured bacterium. RNAcentral's name for it is "partial 16S ribosomal RNA". It matches the Rfam family "Bacterial small subunit ribosomal RNA", at positions 523 to 796 of the family's 1533-position model. The record is from RNAcentral.
CUACGGAGGGUGCAAGCGUUAAUCGGAAUUACUGGGCGUAACGCGUACGUAGGCGGUUGGUUAAGUUAGAUGUGAAAGCCCCGGGCUUAACCUGGGAACUGCAUUUAAAACUGGCGAACUAGAGUUGAGUAGAGGGGAGUGGAAUUUCAGGUGUAGCGGUGAAAUGCGUAGAGAUCUGAAGGAACACCAGUGGCGAAGGCGACUCCCUGGACUCGAACUGACGCUGAGGUACGAAAGCGUGGGUAGCAAACGGGAUUAGAAACCCUAGUAGUCC